UAUCGCAGUAUUUCACCGUAAGCCCACCGCCCAGGAGAAGUAUUCUAGGAGAAUAGAGCCCCAGUUGCCUGUGGAAUACUUACCUUUGUCCAUUGCUACGAAUCACUAAAGUGAGAAUAGAGCCCCAUUGCCUGUGAAGUACCUACCUGUGUUGUCCCCCGCAGUUUGAGUGACCUCUCUCUUGCAGUGCCAUUGGAGUUCUGUGUCGCGGGUUGGCGCUCACCUCGGAGUGUGCAGAAGGGGAGGCGCCGUCCGAGCACCCUGUACGAAGAGAUCGGAGGAACAAGUCAUUUAUCAGCCAGUCGUAUGGACCCAAGUAACAGGUAGCCACUCUCACCGGAUCGAUUACUCAUUGUGUGUUUCACUCUGCCUUCAGGAGAAAAGAAGGGCGCCACGAGUCAACAAAAGCCCAAAGGGACAUACUAACCCUCGCCGCAUAGUCCUCUCCGGCCCCUUUCUCCUCCUGCUGAACAGAGACGAUAAUUUUAAGAUUUACCUCCCCCUCCCUGAAUUAUUUUAAUUAAUUUAAAUAAAGUUGUUUUAAUAUUA
Carassius gibelio (silver crucian carp) is the source of this 549-nucleotide long non-coding RNA. RefSeq lists it as uncharacterized. The transcript has 2 exons. Lineage: Eukaryota; Metazoa; Chordata; Actinopteri; Cypriniformes; Cyprinidae. The record is from RefSeq and is a predicted model, not a curated record.